RNAcentral lists this ribosomal RNA (253 nucleotides) under uncultured bacterium. RNAcentral describes it as "partial 16S ribosomal RNA". It matches the Rfam family "Bacterial small subunit ribosomal RNA", at positions 524 to 776 of the family's 1533-position model. The record is from RNAcentral.
UACGUAGGGUGCGAGCGUUAAUCGGAAUUACUGGGCGUAAAGCGUGCGCAGGCGGUUCGUUGUGUCGGUGGUGAAAGCCCCGGGCUUAACCUGGGAAUGGCCAUGGAAACUGGCGAACUGGAGUGUGGCAGAGGGGGGUGGAAUUCCGCGUGUAGCAGUGAAAUGCGUAGAGAUGCGGGGGAACACCGAUGGCGAAGGCAGCCCCCUGGGCUAGCACUGACGCUCAGGCACGAAAGCGUGGGGAGCAAACAGG